GGAGGAUUUCCCGAGCGGCCAAGGGGGCAGACUGUAAAUCUGUUGUCAUCGACUUCGGUGGUUCGAAUCCACCAUCCUCCACCA
This 84-nucleotide transfer RNA is filed under the name Clostridioides difficile. RNAcentral's name for it is "tRNA-Tyr". It matches the Rfam family "tRNA". Rfam says of the family: Transfer RNA (tRNA) molecules are approximately 80 nucleotides in length. Their secondary structure includes four short double-helical elements and three loops (D, anti-codon, and T loops). The record is from RNAcentral. Lineage: Bacteria; Bacillati; Bacillota; Clostridia; Peptostreptococcales; Peptostreptococcaceae.